Molecule: long non-coding RNA, 1214 nt
Filed under: Strigops habroptila (Kakapo)
Lineage: Eukaryota; Metazoa; Chordata; Aves; Psittaciformes; Psittacidae
Description: lncRNA (ENSSHBG00005015937.1)
Source: RNAcentral
GGGGAUUUUGGCUGCUGUAGGUUAUUGCCUGAUUCACCUUCCCACAGCUUUUUGUCAUGCAAGAUGUGCUCAAUGCUGGUACACUUAAAAGCAUGCCGUAUAUCUUAUCAAAAAUAAUUAUUUCCCCACCACAAUGUGGUUCUGGAAGAGCUUCACUAAAAGAGUGAUUUGGCCUUUCAAAGUUGAAGAUGGUUAUUGAAAAACAUAGCCUUCUUUAAGUAGAAUAUAACUGAUUGGAAAGGCAGAGAGAGCACCAGUGGAAAUGAUCAUCAGACUGAUUGGUUGAAGAUUAAUGGUCUUGAGUGACUUGAGAAGCCAAAAACUGGACUUUGUUCCUCAGCCAAACCUUGAUGUUCUGUAGAGCCACCACUUCUCCUAGACUGGCUUGUCCCUCAGCAAACAGGCACUUCCCAAAGCAAACUGCCCAUGGGCGCGGGAGAGCACAACUGGGAAGUUCUGUGUUUGGGCAAGCAAAGUACCUUGAGCUUAUUUGAUGUUUGCAGACUGCCUAGAAUGAACGCCAAUGGUGGUCCUUUAAAAUGAUGGUAUUCCCUGCGAGUGCCUUUUGGUUGAGUGGUGCUUCAUCUUGUUCAGCCAGUUAUGUAGCACACUGCUCUAUGAGCACAUGCAGGUGAGUAAUCCUGAUAACCACAGCAUGUAUUUUAAUCUGUUCUGAAAAAGUGCAAAAAGGCUUUCAAAAGGGAAAAAGUCUCUUCCUCCUUGUUGAAAGCCAGCCAAGGGAAGGAUAGCAAGGGGAAAAGCAGAUGUCCUGCCUUUAAUGGAGUGUUUUAACUUUUCUGUAGAGAAAGCAGAUGAGUUUUCUGAUGCAUAAACCAGGCUUUCUUUCCUACUAAGGUAUUUCUUUAAUACUGUUUAUCAGCUGAAGUCGUUCUGUGUGUUUGAAUUUAAUUUUGAUCUAUUUAAUACCAAUGAAAAGGAGAAUUUGUUUUAACUUCAAAGUUUAUAAAUUAAAACACCGAAAGGCAUGUGGGCAAUCUGAUGUGUGGAUUUAAAGUACUCUGCACGCUGUACUUGUGGCAGGCCAUGGUGGUGGGAAGGAGUGCUGUCUUGUAGGAUCUCACCAGGGCUGGCUGCAACGAGGGUGGGAGGCAGCAACCUCGGCCAGUGGAACCUCUCCAGAGGGAUCCUGCCAGCGCUCAAAGAAAGGCUUGUUAUACAGCUUGGGAGCUUGGAGCGAAUUAAAAGAUGUUUUU